GGUAGAGUGGCCGAGUCAGGUGGCGAGUUGUAAACUCGCUUACAGGGGCAGCACCCCUCACUACCA
This 66-nucleotide transfer RNA is filed under the name Microgecko persicus (Persia sand gecko). RNAcentral describes it as "tRNA-Tyr". Lineage: Eukaryota; Metazoa; Chordata; Lepidosauria; Squamata; Gekkonidae. The record is from RNAcentral.